GGCAUUAGCGAAAGCUUCAAGGGAAAGACCCGGCCCUCCUAAUCUCAUCAUGUUCUUCUUCUUUUUCAUGCUGAUAGAUUUUGGGCCGUUGAUCUUCUCAUUCUUUUCCUCACCUUCUUUUGAGGCACGAUUCUUCAUUGUUCCACGAAAUUAUCUUAUUUCUUAUUAAGCAAUUGACUAUCAAUAACAGGAAACAGGUCGAAUUUGGGAACCCUAUUUUAAGAGGUGAAGUGAGUAUGGCGGUGGUCGGUAGCUCCUUGAAGUUCAAAUUUACCCGAGGUCCUGAACUCUAGUCAGGCAAUUUGAUACGGUGUAGUUUCCG
RNAcentral lists this unclassified non-coding RNA (322 nucleotides) under Hevea brasiliensis (rubber tree). The record is from RNAcentral. Lineage: Eukaryota; Viridiplantae; Streptophyta; Magnoliopsida; Malpighiales; Euphorbiaceae.